GAUGAACGCUGGCGGCGUACCUAAUACAUGCAAGUCGAGCGAACGGACGAGAAGCUUGCUUUUCUGAUGUUAGCGGCGGACGGGUGAGUAACACGUGGAUAACCUACCUAUAAGACUGGGAUAACUUCGGGAAACCGGAGCUAAUACCGGAUAAUAUUUUGAACCGCAUGGUUCAAAAGUGAAAGACGGUCUUGCUGUCACUUAUAGAUGGAUCCGCGCUGCAUUAGCUAGUUGGUAAGGUAACGGCUUACCAAGGCAACGAUGCAUAGCCGACCUGAGAGGGUGAUCGGCCACACUGGAACUGAGACACGGUCCAGACUCCUACGGGAGGCAGCAGUAGGGAAUCUUCCGCAAUGGGCGAAAGCCUGACGGAGCAACGCCGCGUGAGUGAUGAAGGUCUUCGGAUCGUAAAACUCUGUUAUUAGGGAAGAACAUAUGUGUAAGUAACUGUGCACAUCUUGACGGUACCUAAUCAGAAAGCCACGGCUAACUACGUGCCAGCAGCCGCGGUAAUACGUAGGUGGCAAGCGUUAUCCGGAAUUAUUGGGCGUAAAGCGUGCGUAGGCGGUUUUUUAAGUCUGAUGUGAAAGCCCACGGCUCAACCGUGGAGGGUCAUUGGAAACUGGAAAACUUGAGUGCAGAAGAGGAAAGUGGAAUUCCAUGUGUAGCGGUGAAAUGCGCAGAGAUAUGGAGGAACACCAGUGGCGAAGGCGACUUUCUGGUCUGUAACUGACGCUGAUGUGCGAAAGCGUGGGGAUCAAACAGGAUUAGAUACCCUGGUAGUCCACGCCGUAAACGAUGAGUGCUAAGUGUUAGGGGGUUUCCGCCCCUUAGUGCUGCAGCUAACGCAUUAAGCACUCCGCCUGGGGAGUACGACCGCAAGGUUGAAACUCAAAGGAAUUGACGGGGACCCGCACAAGCGGUGGAGCAUGUGGUUUAAUUCGAAGCAACGCGAAGAACCUUACCAAAUCUUGACAUCCUUUGACAACUCUAGAGAUAGAGCCUUCCCCUUCGGGGGACAAAGUGACAGGUGGUGCAUGGUUGUCGUCAGCUCGUGUCGUGAGAUGUUGGGUUAAGUCCCGCAACGAGCGCAACCCUUAAGCUUAGUUGCCAUCAUUAAGUUGGGCACUCUAAGUUGACUGCCGGUGACAAACCGGAGGAAGGUGGGGAUGACGUCAAAUCAUCAUGCCCCUUAUGAUUUGGGCUACACACGUGCUACAAUGGACAAUACAAAGGGCAGCGAAACCGCGAGGUCAAGCAAAUCCCAUAAAGUUGUUCUCAGUUCGGAUUGUAGUCUGCAACUCGACUACAUGAAGCUGGAAUCGCUAGUAAUCGUAGAUCAGCAUGCUACGGUGAAUACGUUCCCGGGUCU
Molecule: ribosomal RNA, 1372 nt
Filed under: uncultured bacterium
Lineage: Bacteria
Description: bacterial SSU rRNA
Rfam family: Bacterial small subunit ribosomal RNA
Source: RNAcentral